This 424-nucleotide ribosomal RNA is filed under the name uncultured prokaryote. RNAcentral describes it as "bacterial SSU rRNA". It matches the Rfam family "Bacterial small subunit ribosomal RNA", at positions 355 to 796 of the family's 1533-position model. The record is from RNAcentral.
UGGGGAAUAUUGCACAAUGGGCGCAAGCCUGAUGCAGCCAUGCCGCGUGAGUGAAGAAGGCCCUAGGGUUGUAAAACUCUUUCACCGGUGAAGAUAAUGACGGUAGCCGGAGAAGAAGCCCCGGCUAACUCCGUGCCAGCAGCCGCGGUAAUACGGAGGGGGCUAGCGUUGUUCGGAAUCACUGGGCGUAAAGCGCGCGUAGGCGGACUGAUCAGUUGGGGGUGAAAGCCCAAGGCUCAACCUUGGAACUGCCCUCAAUACUAUCAGUCUUGAGUCCGGGAGAGGUGAGUGGAAUUCCUAGUGUAGAGGUGAAAUUCGUAGAUAUUAGGAAGAACACCAGUGGCGAAGGCGGCUCACUGGCCCGGUACUGACGCUGAGGUGCGAAAGCGUGGGGAGCAAACAGGAUUAGAUACCCCCGUAGUCC